This 305-nucleotide ribosomal RNA is filed under the name uncultured bacterium. RNAcentral describes it as "bacterial SSU rRNA". It matches the Rfam family "Bacterial small subunit ribosomal RNA", at positions 333 to 654 of the family's 1533-position model. The record is from RNAcentral.
UUACGCCUACGGGGGGCAGCAGUCGGGAAUAUUGCGCAAUGGAGGGAACUCUGACGCAGUGACGCCGCGUAUAGGAAGAAGUUUUUCGGAAUGUAAACUAUUGUCGUUAGGGAAGAGAAAGGACGGUACCUAAGGAGGAAGCCCCGGCUAACUACGUGCCAGCAGCCGCGGUAAUACGUAGGGGGCAAGCGUUAUCCGGAUUUACUGGGUGUAAAGGGAGCGUAGACGGCGCGGCAAGUCUGAAGUGAAAGGCAGGGGCUUAACCCCUGAACUGCUUUGGAAACUGCCAUGCUAGAGUGCUGGAG